CCUACGGGAGGCAGCAGUGGGGAAUUUUGGACAAUGGGCGAAAGCCUGAUCCAGCAAUGCCGCGUGUGGGAAGAAGGCCUUCGGGUUGUAAACCACUUUUGUACGGAACGAAACGGUUCGCUUUAGUACAGUGGGCUAAUGACGGUACCGUAAGAAUAAGCACCGGCUAACUACGUGCCAGCAGCCGCGGUAAUACGUAGGGCGCGAGCGUUAAUCGGAAUUACUGGGCGUAAAGCGUGCGCAGGCGGUCAUAUAAGACAGUUGUGAAAUCCCCGGGCUCAACCUGGGAAUUGCAUCUGUGACUGUAUAGCUAGAGUACGGUAGAGGGGGAUGGAAUUCCGCGUGUAGCAGUGAAAUGCGUAGAUAUGCGGAGGAACACCGAUGGCGAAGGCAAUCCCCUGGACCUGUACUGACGCUCAUGCACGAAAGCGUGGGGAGCAAACAGGAUUAGAUACCCUGGUAGUCCACGCCCUAAACGAUGUCAACUGGUUGUUGGGUGCAUUAGUACUCAGUAACGAAGCUAACGCGUGAAGUUGACCGCCUGGGGAGUACGGCCGCAAGGUUGAAACGUCAAAGGAAUUGACGG
This 586-nucleotide ribosomal RNA is filed under the name uncultured bacterium. RNAcentral's name for it is "bacterial SSU rRNA". It matches the Rfam family "Bacterial small subunit ribosomal RNA", at positions 338 to 916 of the family's 1533-position model. The record is from RNAcentral.